AUUGAACGCUGGCGGCAGGCUUAACACAUGCAAGUCGAGCGGAGACUUCGGUCUUAGCGGCGAACGGGUGAGUAAUACCUAGGAAUCUGCCUAUUAGUGGGGGAUAACGAAUCGAAAGGUUCGCUAAUACCGCAUAAGACCUGAGGGUGAAAGCGGGGGACCGUAAGGCCUCGCGCUACCGGAGCGGCCGAUGUCAGAUUAGCUAGUUGGUGGGGUAAAAGCCUACCAAGGCGACGAUCUGUAGCUGGUCUGAGAGGACGACCAGCCACAUUGGGACUGAGACACGGCCCAGACUCCUACGGGAGGCAGCAGUGGGGAAUUUUGGACAAUGGGCGCAAGCCUGAUCCAGCCAUGCCGCGUGCGGGAAGAAGGCCU
RNAcentral lists this ribosomal RNA (375 nucleotides) under uncultured bacterium. Its description in RNAcentral is "bacterial SSU rRNA". It matches the Rfam family "Bacterial small subunit ribosomal RNA", at positions 30 to 417 of the family's 1533-position model. The record is from RNAcentral.